UUGAAAUAAACCUGAUGGGUUGUUGCUGGUUCUCUAGGGAGCAUGUGCACUCCUUGUCAUCUUUAUAUCUCCACCUGUGCACCUAUUGUAGACCUUUUUCAAAGGUCUAUGUUGCUUCAUUUACCCCAAAUGUAUGUUAAUAGAAUGUCGUGCCUAUAAAAGUAUAUA
RNAcentral lists this unclassified non-coding RNA (168 nucleotides) under uncultured Cortinarius. Its description in RNAcentral is "sequence contains ITS1". Lineage: Eukaryota; Fungi; Basidiomycota; Agaricomycetes; Agaricales; Cortinariaceae. The record is from RNAcentral.